Molecule: ribosomal RNA, 132 nt
Filed under: uncultured Basidiomycota
Lineage: Eukaryota; Fungi; Basidiomycota
Description: partial small subunit ribosomal RNA
Rfam family: Eukaryotic small subunit ribosomal RNA
Source: RNAcentral
GUCGCUACUACCGAUUGAAUGGCUUAGUGAGGCUUUCGGAUUGGAUCUGAGCAGCUGGCAACAGCAGCUUGGAACUGAAAAGUUAUCCAAACUUGGUCAUUUAGAGGAAGUAAAAGUCGUAACAAGGUUUCC